CCGCCGCGCCGAGCUGCUGCCCGGCGGCGCCGUGGAGGCCGUGGCCGCGCAUCUUGGCGCGGUCGCGGCGGUGCACGUUCAUGUGCCCGCCCAGCGCCUGCGCGGACCGGAACUCGCGGCGGCAGAACGCGCACGUGUAGGACCGCGGCGGCCACGUCCCGCCCAGGCCGUCCACGUCGUCCGCCGC
Molecule: small RNA, 187 nt
Filed under: Oryza sativa Japonica Group (Japanese rice)
Lineage: Eukaryota; Viridiplantae; Streptophyta; Magnoliopsida; Poales; Poaceae
Description: sRNA Os04g0590451
Source: RNAcentral